GUCGCCAAGUUUCCCACACUACCACCACUCUCCCUGGACCCAGAGCACACACCGCGGCGUCCCUCUUGUGGGUGCCUUGCCAAGACCAUUCACUUUCCUACGCCCUUGAAGUCAUUGCUGUGGGUCGUGGCUACACUGCACAAGGUUGAGUAAAGACCACAAGCCUGCUGAGCCGCCCCCUGGAGGCUGCCGUGCUGUGAGGGGAUAAGGGGAGUAAGGGAGCAGGGAGAGUGGGGAGACUCGAGAGAG
Portunus trituberculatus (swimming crab) is the source of this 249-nucleotide long non-coding RNA. RefSeq lists it as uncharacterized. The record is from RefSeq and is a predicted model, not a curated record. The transcript is spliced from 3 exons. Lineage: Eukaryota; Metazoa; Arthropoda; Malacostraca; Decapoda; Portunidae.